Non-coding RNA from Procambarus clarkii (red swamp crayfish), 219 nucleotides. The record is from RefSeq and is a predicted model, not a curated record. Lineage: Eukaryota; Metazoa; Arthropoda; Malacostraca; Decapoda; Cambaridae.
GCAACAAGGUGAUGACCGUAGGGCAGGAGACAGGUGGUGGUGGAGCCCCAGCAACAAGGUGAUGACCGUAGGGCAGGAGACAGGUGGUGGUGGAGCCCCAGCAACAAGGUGAUGACCGUAGGGCAGGAGACAGGUGGUGGUGGAGCCCCAGCAACAAGGUGAUGACCGUAGGGCAGGAGACAGGUGGUGGUGGAGCCCCAGCAACAAGGUGCAGACCGU